AAGACUUCUCAGGAAAGGAGGCCAAUUACAGUUGUGGAAGACGCACGAGGAAAAGGGCCGCUCCGGCCAAGUCGUAAAUCCCUUAAGGAAACAGCGCUGAAAGGAGCUAGAGGGUGACGGCCCGAGUCCUGUCCUGCGGGGGCUGCCAGGAGGUGGCAGCAGCAGCCGCAGCCUGCUGGAGGAAUCGGAGUUCAUCUGUUUUCCUGUUGGCAUCCAAACCUAGAAAUCCCUGCUUCCAGAAUCCACUCUAUCCCUUCCUUCAUUUGCUGAGCUUGGUUGGAGCCAGAGCAUCAGGAGUGCAGGAGCUGGCAAUGAGACCUCUCUGACUCUUCCAGCAAGGAGGCCACCACCGGAGCCCAAACCAAUGGAGCCCACCCAGUCUUCCGAGCCGUGAGCCUCCAAGACAGCGAGCCAAAACAAAUCUCUUCGCUUCACAAGUAGCUUCUCUCAGGUAUUUCUUUAUAGCAACAGAAGGCUGACAACUACAGUAGUGAAUCCCUGUUUCAAAGACAGUCGCUAACAGGUGCUGCUGGUGUGAUGCCAUGCUGUAGAGAUCCCACAUUGAACUUAAAAAACAAAUAUAAAUGCUUUUUAAAAAGAUCCUCCAAAUUAGAUAUAUAGGUUGGCACAUGCUCACUCGGACUUACCGCCAAUGGUGGAACUAGAAAUGUGCCAGGGGAUUUCAACUCAAUCUUACCAAGGAGGCAAGUACCAAUGCCAGCGCACUUGGUAAAGUGAUAAGUAUAAAUACACAACCGAUCAAAAAGAUAGGGUAUGUGUCUAUGAGAUUUCACAAAUAAGACCAGUGUAAGCAAAUAACGAAGGAUAGAAUUAAAAGGGAGAGAAUGAUCCUGCGGGGGAAACAGGACACACAGCAGACUCAUAGAAUGGCAGCACUCCUGCCUCAGAAUCAGCCCUUGGGACAUUCGGAUAUGGCUAAAAGGUCCAUGAGAGUCUCACAGGCAUGGAAAGCCAUGACACGGUGGCAAAAAACAAUCUAAAUGAAAGAUCCUGGUGAACAAGACCCCAGCAGAAGGAACAGGCCAUCAAGGAGGGAGGCGCCUUUCUCUGAAGGGAGGAAGGAACCUCCACUGUGAUACGGCUUUGACUAAACAAGGUCAGAGUCGGUGAACUCAAGGGGCUUCCAUAGCCUAGACAGCUCAUAGCAAGAGUCUCGGGUGAUUGCUGACGUCAUAAAUAAGAGUGCCAGUUGUUAAAUCAACAACGGGAGUCACUGGGUACAGGCUCCCCACGUAGGAUCUCUGUCCUUAAUGUGUUCUACUAUGAAACUUAAAAACAACACUACUAGUUGAACAAUACCCUAUACCUUGUGCGGUUGUGUGAGGGCAGCCUGUUGAAAUCCUUGCUUAGUAUAUACUAAGUUGAUCUUCAGUAUAUGAAGGUAAUUGAAAAUGAAACUCGAUGAAGGGCGGGAUGGGAGAGGGAGUGGGAGAGGGGAGGUCCACGGGAGGGAGGGAGGUUGGGGGGGAGCCACAACAAUACAAAAGCUGCACUUUGUAAAUUCACAUUUAUUAAAUAAAAAAAAAACUAUAUAACAAACAAAAAGAAACAGAAAAAAAAAGAACUUAAUACUUUACCCUUUUAGUUAGUAUUUUUUAUGUUCACUUAAAACUAUUGGUUGAACUCUGUAAUUAAUACACAAUUACUCUUAGGUGUUUAAUUAAUGCUAUAACUAGUACUCAUAGUAUUUUACACUUUGUGUUUCUGUGUGGGUGCAAACUGUUGAAAUCUUUACUUAAUAUAUGCUAAAUUGAUCUUCUAUAUAUAAAGAUAAUUGAAAAUUAAUCUUGAUGUGAAUGGAAGGGGAGAGGGAGUGGGAGAGGGGAGUGUUGUGGGUGGGAGGGAUGCUAUGGGGGGGGAAGCUAUUGUAAUCCAUAAGCUGUACUUUGGAAAUUUAUGUUCAUUAAAUAAAAUAAAAUAUAAAUAUAAAAAAAUCCUCCAAAUUGCUAAAUUUUUCCCCUCGCCUCCUUUUUUACUUUUUUUUCUCUUUGAGCUUUCUCCUGCACCUGCUCUCCCAUGGCAGCAGUCAUCCUCAGUCCUCUUACCCCUUGUCUACCUCAUUACUCUCCGUGCCUUCCUCUUCUUUCUACAUGUAUUUUGUUUCCUUCUACUCUGUUCUCUUCUGUCUGCCCACAACACACACCUCUCCUCUCUAUAUCAUCAUCUUUCCCACUUGCAACUCCUUCAUUGGUUAAUAUGGAACAAAAGCACUGUCAGAUAUUUUUAUAGUUGUUAAAUAAGAUGUUUUGUUAAUUUAAAAAGCAAAUAAUGAAAAUAUAUUCCUCUCUCCAGGUAGGCAAAAAAAAAAAAAAAAAAAAAAAGCUAGCUCAGACACAGCAUCAAUUAAGUACCAUGCGGGCUGUGGCCGGCACUGGGGCAUAUCGGGUGAAGCUGCCACCUGCAGUGCCAGCAUCCCAUGUGGGCGCUGAUUUGAGUCCCGGCUGC
Long non-coding RNA from Oryctolagus cuniculus (rabbit), 2466 nucleotides. RefSeq lists it as uncharacterized. The record is from RefSeq and is a predicted model, not a curated record. Lineage: Eukaryota; Metazoa; Chordata; Mammalia; Lagomorpha; Leporidae.